AUGUCCUUGGGGUUGGGUGCGGCAACUCGCGACUCCAAGACAUUUCGUGCAUGCAUGUGCUCCCCUGCGCUUGGUGACCAAUACAUCUACUCCGUCGUGAACAUGUGCUUCGUGUCAUACAGGUCGCCGCCAAGGGUUAUGUGCAUUAUUGAUCAGCCAAUCUUGAGAGAGAGAUGGGUUUGCGUGAAUGGGAAGAAAACUACAUUGAAUAGACAAGAAGUAUGCCCUCAACUUUUUCAUGUUUCUUCUUUGCUUUUUCAUGGCAUCGGGAUGCCCACUGCCGACGGCGCUGCGUUGCUACCAAAGGGGCACCCUGCCGCGGCCAGGGACUCGCUGCCGUCGAAGCACGGCACCUUGCCGUCACGUAUGUUGGGUGUUGUGGUGCUGCAGAUUUGGUAUUGUUGUUCUGUUCACUUAACCCAGUCUGUAGCAGCAGCUUUUCAUGUCGUUUCCUCGCCAACAAAUGUCAUAAUUUAUCACUCUAUGAAGAAUUGCAAGGAGGAGGAUAAUAGAGCAGCAACCAGAGCUGACAAUUGGCCUGUAAAUGCAGCAAAGUUCUCCUAG
RNAcentral lists this ribosomal RNA (564 nucleotides) under Triticum aestivum (bread wheat). RNAcentral describes it as "partial small subunit ribosomal RNA". The record is from RNAcentral. Lineage: Eukaryota; Viridiplantae; Streptophyta; Magnoliopsida; Poales; Poaceae.